This 492-nucleotide ribosomal RNA is filed under the name uncultured bacterium. Its description in RNAcentral is "partial 16S ribosomal RNA". It matches the Rfam family "Bacterial small subunit ribosomal RNA", at positions 29 to 507 of the family's 1533-position model. The record is from RNAcentral.
AGUGAACGCUGGCGGUAGGCCUAACACAUGCAAGUCGAACGGCAGCACAGUAAGAGCUUGCUCUUACGGGUGGCGAGUGGCGGACGGGUGAGGAAUACAUCGGAAUCUACUUUUUCGUGGGGGAUAACGUAGGGAAACUUACGCUAAUACCGCAUACGACCUACGGGUGAAAGCAGGGGAUCUUCGGACCUUGCGCGAUUGAAUUAGCCGAUGUCGGAUUAGCUAGUUGGCGGGGUAAAGGCCCACCAAGGCGACGAUCCGUAGCUGGUCUGAGAGGAUGAUAAGCCACACUGGAACUGAGACACGGUCCAGACUCCUACGGGAGGCAGCAGUGGGGAAUAUUGGACAAUGGGCGCAAGCCUGAUCCAGCCAUACCGCGUGUGUGAAGAAGGCCUUCGGGUUGUAAAGCCCUUUUGUUGGGAAAGAAAAGCAGCAGGUUAAUACCCCGCUGUUCUGACGGUACCCAAAGAAUAAGCACCGGCUAACUUCGUG